RNAcentral lists this ribosomal RNA (468 nucleotides) under uncultured bacterium. Its description in RNAcentral is "partial 16S ribosomal RNA". It matches the Rfam family "Bacterial small subunit ribosomal RNA", at positions 28 to 507 of the family's 1533-position model. The record is from RNAcentral.
GACGAACGCUGGCGGCGUGCUUAACACAUGCAAGUCGAACGGAAAGGCCCUGCUUUUGUGGGGUGCUCGAGUGGCGAACGGGUGAGUAACACGUCAGUAACCUGCCCUUGACUUUGGGAUAACUUCAGGAAACUGGGGCUAAUACCGGAUAGGAGCUCCUGCUGCAUGGUGGGGGUUGGAAAGUUUCGGCGGUUGGGGAUGGACUCGCGGCUUAUCAGCUUGUUGGUGGGGUAGUGGCUUACCAAGGCUUUGACGGGUAGCCGGCCUGAGAGGGUGACCGGCCACAUUGGGACUGAGAUACGGCCCAGACUCCUACGGGAGGCAGCAGUGGGGAAUUUUGCACAAUGGGCGGAAGCCUGAUGCAGCAACGCCGCGUGCGGGAUGACGGCCUUCGGGUUGUAAACCGCUUUCGCCUGUGACGAAGCGUGAGUGACGGUAAUGGGUAAAGAAGCACCGGCUAACUACGUG